GCCCGAGUGGCGGAAUUGGUAGACGCGUGCGCUUCAGGUGCGUAUGCCCUUACGGGCGUGGAGGUUCAAGUCCUCUCUCGGGUA
RNAcentral lists this transfer RNA (84 nucleotides) under Gracilimonas sp. RNAcentral's name for it is "tRNA-Leu". It matches the Rfam family "tRNA". Rfam says of the family: Transfer RNA (tRNA) molecules are approximately 80 nucleotides in length. Their secondary structure includes four short double-helical elements and three loops (D, anti-codon, and T loops). Lineage: Bacteria; Pseudomonadati; Balneolota; Balneolia; Balneolales; Balneolaceae. The record is from RNAcentral. RNAcentral also lists the same sequence under 6 other names.